GAUGAACGCUGGCGGCGUGCCUAAUACAUGCAAGUCGAGCGAACAGACGAGGAGCUUGCUCCUCUGACGUUAGCGGCGGACGGGUGAGUAACACGUGGAUAACCUACCUAUAAGACUGGGAUAACUUCAGGAAACCGGAGCUAAUACCGGAUAAUAUAUUGAACCGCAUGGUUCAAUAGUGAAAGACGGUUUUGCUGUCACUUAUAGAUGGAUCCGCGCCGCAUUAGCUAGUUGGUAAGGUAACGGCUUACCAAGGCAACGAUGCGUAGCCGACCUGAGAGGGUGAUCGGCCACACUGGAACUGAGACACGGUCCAGACUCCUACGGGAGGCAGCAGUAGGGAAUCUUCCGCAAUGGGCGAAAGCCUGACGGAGCAACGCCGCGUGAGUGAUGAAGGUCUUCGGAUCGUAAAACUCUGUUAUCAGGGAAGAACAAAUGUGUAAGUAACUAUGCACGUCUUGACGGUACCUAAUCAGAAAGCCACGGCUAACUACGUG
This 497-nucleotide ribosomal RNA is filed under the name uncultured bacterium. RNAcentral describes it as "partial 16S ribosomal RNA". It matches the Rfam family "Bacterial small subunit ribosomal RNA", at positions 28 to 507 of the family's 1533-position model. The record is from RNAcentral.